GAUGAACGCUGGCGGCGUGCCUAAUACAUGCAAGUCGAGCGAACAGACGAGGAGCUUGCUCCUCUGACGUUAGCGGCGGACGGGUGAGUAACACGUGGAUAACCUACCUAUAAGACUGGGAUAACUUCGGGAAACCGGAGCUAAUACCGGAUAAUAUAUUGAACCGCAUGGUUCAAUAGUGAAAGACGGUUUUGCUGUCACUUAUAGAUGGAUCCGCGCCGCAUUAGCUAGUUGGUAAGGUAACGGCUUACCAAGGCGACGAUGCGUAGCCGACCUGAGAGGGUGAUCGGCCGCACUGGAACUGAGACACGGUCCAGACUCCUACGGGAGGCAGCAGUAGGGAAUCUUCCGCAAUGGGCGAAAGCCUGACGGAGCAACGCCGCGUGAGUGAUGAAGGUCUUCGGAUCGUAAAACUCUGUUAUUAGGGAAGAACAAAUGUGUAAGUAACUAUGCACGUAUUGACGGUACCUAAUCAGAAAGCCACGGCUAACUACGUG
Molecule: ribosomal RNA, 497 nt
Filed under: uncultured bacterium
Lineage: Bacteria
Description: partial 16S ribosomal RNA
Rfam family: Bacterial small subunit ribosomal RNA
Source: RNAcentral